GAUGAACGCUGGCGGCGUGCCUAAUACAUGCAAGUCGAGCGAACAGACGAGGAGCUUGCUCCUCUGACGUUAGCGGCGGACGGGUGAGUAACACGUGGAUAACCUACCUAUAAGACUGGGAUAACUUCGGGAAACCGGAGCUAAUACCGGAUAAUAUAUUGAACCGCAUGGUUCAAUAGUGAAAGACGGUUUUGCUGUCACUUAUAGAUGGAUCCGCGCCGCAUUAGCUAGUUGUUAAGGUAACGGCUUACCAAGGCAACGAUGCGUAGCCGACCUGAGAGGGUGAUCGGCCACACUGGAACUGAGACACGGUCCAGACUCCUACGGGAGGCAGCAGUAGGGAAUCGGCCGCAAUGGGCGAAAGCAUGACGGAGCAACGCCGAGUGAGUGAUGAAGGUCUUCGGAUCGUAAAACUCUGUUAUUAGGGAAGAACAAAUGUGUAAGUAACUAUGCACGUCUUGACGGUACCUAAUCAGAAAGCCACGGCUAACUACGUG
This 497-nucleotide ribosomal RNA is filed under the name uncultured bacterium. RNAcentral describes it as "partial 16S ribosomal RNA". It matches the Rfam family "Bacterial small subunit ribosomal RNA", at positions 28 to 507 of the family's 1533-position model. The record is from RNAcentral.